AAUCAUUCAAAAUUCAAAAUUUGUAUGUUUGAAUGUGAAUUUUGGAAAUGUAACAUUGUAUAAUAAAUUCAUAAUUUAAAAAAAAAAAAAUUCAAAAACAAAGAAAAAUAAUUUCAUAAAUCUACGUUUUGGGCAUGCUCAACAAAACAACCGGUACAUCUCAAAAUUACUAGAAUAAUGUAACUUAAAAUUCAACACAUUUAUAAAAAAAAAAAUUGAUGAGAACAAAUAUUUUAAUUUCUGUCUACAAAAUAUGAUAUUCAAAGGUACUUGUACUUUUGCUUUUAACUCUACUUUAAUUUUUCAUUGAUAACAGACCAUGAUUGCUUUGUUGAUAUCAUGUAUUUAAGUUCAAUAUACGAAACGAAGAUAUCUGUUAGUGAGUGAUAUGAGUUGUAAACUAAUCUCACAAUUUUUUUUAUGUCCA
This 427-nucleotide long non-coding RNA is filed under the name Cucumis sativus (cucumber). Its description in RNAcentral is "long non-coding RNA (CSAT_LNC001911)". The record is from RNAcentral. Lineage: Eukaryota; Viridiplantae; Streptophyta; Magnoliopsida; Cucurbitales; Cucurbitaceae.